Molecule: long non-coding RNA, 288 nt
Organism: Helianthus annuus (common sunflower)
Lineage: Eukaryota; Viridiplantae; Streptophyta; Magnoliopsida; Asterales; Asteraceae
Exons: 2
Source: RefSeq, a predicted model, not a curated record
AACCACCCAGUUUUGAAGUUGAACAACCACCAUCUGUUCGAUGAAGAAGAUGGAAAGAAGGUGGUUGACGUCACUAAACUCCUUCCUCCUGAGAGACACAUGUUCAUUGAGAAGCUCAUUAAACACAUUGCUUUCUGUUAUGCAACUGAUCUGGAUACAUUGUGGUUCAAUAAUAAUUGUGCGACGAAGAUGUAAUGGAUCUGGAUUUGUAGAAGUGAUAGUUACAAAUGGAACAUUUUUUCUGCAGUUACAUGUAUUUUUUAUCAGUAAUACAUUACAUUUUUUUUA